This 977-nucleotide ribosomal RNA is filed under the name Bacteroides finegoldii. RNAcentral's name for it is "bacterial SSU rRNA". It matches the Rfam family "Bacterial small subunit ribosomal RNA", at positions 57 to 1030 of the family's 1533-position model. Lineage: Bacteria; Pseudomonadati; Bacteroidota; Bacteroidia; Bacteroidales; Bacteroidaceae. The record is from RNAcentral.
GCAGUCGAGGGGCAGCAUUUUAGUUUGCUUGCAAACUAAAGAUGGCGACCGGCGCACGGGUGAGUAACACGUAUCCAACCUGCCGAUAACUCAGGGAUAGCCUUUCGAAAGAAAGAUUAAUACCUGAUGGCAUAGGAUUAUCGCAUGAUAAUCCUAUUAAAGAAUUUCGGUUAUCGAUGGGGAUGCGUUCCAUUAGGCAGUUGGUGAGGUAACGGCUCACCAAACCUUCGAUGGAUAGGGGUUCUGAGAGGAAGGUCCCCCACAUUGGAACUGAGACACGGUCCAAACUCCUACGGGAGGCAGCAGUGAGGAAUAUUGGUCAAUGGACGGGAGUCUGAACCAGCCAAGUAGCGUGAAGGAUGACUGCCCUAUGGGUUGUAAACUUCUUUUAUACGGGAAUAAAGUGAUCCACGUGUGGAUUUUUGUAUGUACCGUAUGAAUAAGGAUCGGCUAACUCCGUGCCAGCAGCCGCGGUAAUACGGAGGAUCCGAGCGUUAUCCGGAUUUAUUGGGUUUAAAGGGAGCGUAGGUGGAUUGUUAAGUCAGUUGUGAAAGUUUGCGGCUCAACCGUAAAAUUGCAGUUGAUACUGGCAGUCUUGAGUACAGUAGAGGUGGGCGGAAUUCGUGGUGUAGCGGUGAAAUGCUUAGAUAUCACGAAGAACUCCGAUUGCGAAGGCAGCUCACUGGACUGCAACUGACACUGAUGCUCGAAAGUGUGGGUAUCAAACAGGAUUAGAUACCCUGGUAGUCCACACAGUAAACGAUGAAUACUCGCUGUUUGCGAUAUACGGUAAGCGGCCAAGCGAAAGCGUUAAGUAUUCCACCUGGGGAGUACGCCGGCAACGGUGAAACUCAAAGGAAUUGACGGGGGCCCGCACAAGCGGAGGAACAUGUGGUUUAAUUCGAUGAUACGCGAGGAACCUUACCCGGGCUUAAAUUACAUUUGAAUAAUCUGGAAACAGUUUAGCCGUAAGCAAA